UUAAGCGACUAAGCGUACACGGUGGAUGCCCUGGCAGUCAGAGGCGAUGAAGGACGUGCUAAUCUGCGAUAAGCGUCGGUAAGGUGAUAUGAACCGUUAUAACCGGCGAUUUCCGAAUGGGGAAACCCAGUGUGAUUCGUCACACUAUCAUUAACUGAAUCCAUAGGUUAAUGAGGCGAACCGGGGGAACUGAAACAUCUAAGUACCCCGAGGAAAAGAAAUCAACCGAGAUUCCCCCAGUAGCGGCGAGCGAACGGGGAGCAGCCCAGAGCCUGAAUCAGUGUGUGUGUUAGUGGAAGCGUCUGGAAAGGCGCGCGAUACAGGGUGACAGCCCCGUACACAAAAAUGCACAUACUGUGAGCUCGAUGAGUAGGGCGGGACACGUGGUAUCCUGUCUGAAUAUGGGGGGACCAUCCUCCAAGGCUAAAUACUCCUGACUGACCGAUAGUGAACCAGUACCGUGAGGGAAAGGCGAAAAGAACCCCGGCGAGGGGAGUGAAAAAGAACCUGAAACCGUGUACGUACAAGCAGUGGGAGCACGCUUAGGCGUGUGACUGCGUACCUUUUGUAUAAUGGGUCAGCGACUUAUAUUCUGUAGCAAGGUUAACCGAAUAGGGGAGCCGAAGGGAAACCGAGUCUUAACUGGGCGUUAAGUUGCAGGGUAUAGACCCGAAACCCGGUGAUCUAGCCAUGGGCAGGUUGAAGGUUGGGUAACACUAACUGGAGGACCGAACCGACUAAUGUUGAAAAAUUAGCGGAUGACUUGUGGCUGGGGGUGAAAGGCCAAUCAAACCGGGAGAUAGCUGGUUCUCCCCGAAAGCUAUUUAGGUAGCGCCUCGUGAAUUCAUCUCCGGGGGUAGAGCACUGUUUCGGCAAGGGGGUCAUCCCGACUUACCAACCCGAUGCAAACUGCGAAUACCGGAGAAUGUUAUCACGGGAGACACACGGCGGGUGCUAACGUCCGUCGUGAAGAGGGAAACAACCCAGACCGCCAGCUAAGGUCCCAAAGUCAUGGUUAAGUGGGAAACGAUGUGGGAAGGCCCAGACAGCCAGGAUGUUGGCUUAGAAGCAGCCAUCAUUUAAAGAAAGCGUAAUAGCUCACUGGUCGAGUCGGCCUGCGCGGAAGAUGUAACGGGGCUAAACCAUGCACCGAAGCUGCGGCAGCGACACUAUGUGUUGUUGGGUAGGGGAGCGUUCUGUAAGCCUGUGAAGGUGUACUGUGAGGUAUGCUGGAGGUAUCAGAAGUGCGAAUGCUGACAUAAGUAACGAUAAAGCGGGUGAAAAGCCCGCUCGCCGGAAGACCAAGGGUUCCUGUCCAACGUUAAUCGGGGCAGGGGUGAGUCGACCCCUAAGGCGAGGCCGAAAGGCGUAGUCGAUGGGAAACAGGUUAAUAUUCCUGUACUUGGUGUUACUGCGAAGGGGGGACGGAGAAGGCUAUGUUGGCCGGGCGACGGUUGUCCCGGUUUAAGCGUGUAGGCUGGUUUUCCAGGCAAAUCCGGAAAAUCAAGGCUGAGGCGUGAUGACGAGGCACUACGGUGCUGAAGCAACAAAUGCCCUGCUUCCAGGAAAAGCCUCUAAGCAUCAGGUAACAUCAAAUCGUACCCCAAACCGACACAGGUGGUCAGGUAGAGAAUACCAAGGCGCUUGAGAGAACUCGGGUGAAGGAACUAGGCAAAAUGGUGCCGUAACUUCGGGAGAAGGCACGCUGAUAUGUAGGUGAAGUCCCUCGCGGAUGGAGCUGAAAUCAGUCGAAGAUACCAGCUGGCUGCAACUGUUUAUUAAAAACACAGCACUGUGCAAACACGAAAGUGGACGUAUACGGUGUGACGCCUGCCCGGUGCCGGAAGGUUAAUUGAUGGGGUUAGCGCAAGCGAAGCUCUUGAUCGAAGCCCCGGUAAACGGCGGCCGUAACUAUAACGGUCCUAAGGUAGCGAAAUUCCUUGUCGGGUAAGUUCCGACCUGCACGAAUGGCGUAAUGAUGGCCAGGCUGUCUCCACCCGAGACUCAGUGAAAUUGAACUCGCUGUGAAGAUGCAGUGUACCCGCGGCAAGACGGAAAGACCCCGUGAACCUUUACUAUAGCUUGACACUGAACAUUGAGCCUUGAUGUGUAGGAUAGGUGGGAGGCUUUGAAGUGUGGACGCCAGUCUGCAUGGAGCCGACCUUGAAAUACCACCCUUUAAUGUUUGAUGUUCUAACGUUGACCCGUGAUCCGGGUUGCGGACAGUGUCUGGUGGGUAGUUUGACUGGGGCGGUCUCCUCCUAAAGAGUAACGGAGGAGCACGAAGGUUGGCUAAUCCUGGUCGGACAUCAGGAGGUUAGUGCAAUGGCAUAAGCCAGCUUGACUGCGAGCGUGACGGCGCGAGCAGGUGCGAAAGCAGGUCAUAGUGAUCCGGUGGUUCUGAAUGGAAGGGCCAUCGCUCAACGGAUAAAAGGUACUCCGGGGAUAACAGGCUGAUACCGCCCAAGAGUUCAUAUCGACGGCGGUGUUUGGCACCUCGAUGUCGGCUCAUCACAUCCUGGGGCUGAAGUAGGUCCCAAGGGUAUGGCUGUUCGCCAUUUAAAGUGGUACGCGAGCUGGGUUUAGAACGUCGUGAGACAGUUCGGUCCCUAUCUGCCGUGGGCGCUGGAGAACUGAGGGGGGCUGCUCCUAGUACGAGAGGACCGGAGUGGACGCAUCACUGGUGUUCGGGUUGUCAUGCCAAUGGCACUGCCCGGUAGCUAAAUGCGGAAGAGAUAAGUGCUGAAAGCAUCUAAGCACGAAACUUGCCCCGAGAUGAGUUCUCCCUGACUCCUUGAGAGUCCUGAAGGAACGUUGAAGACGACGACGUUGAUAGGCCGGGUGUGUAAGCGCAGCGAUGCGUUGAGCUAACCGGUACUAAUGAACCGUGAGGCUUAACCUU
This 2902-nucleotide ribosomal RNA is filed under the name Escherichia coli 2720900. RNAcentral describes it as "bacterial LSU rRNA". It matches the Rfam family "Bacterial large subunit ribosomal RNA". Lineage: Bacteria; Pseudomonadati; Pseudomonadota; Gammaproteobacteria; Enterobacterales; Enterobacteriaceae. The record is from RNAcentral.